This is a long non-coding RNA of Mesitornis unicolor (brown roatelo), 1125 nucleotides long. RefSeq lists it as uncharacterized. The record is from RefSeq and is a predicted model, not a curated record. The transcript is spliced from 2 exons. Lineage: Eukaryota; Metazoa; Chordata; Aves; Mesitornithiformes; Mesitornithidae.
GCUUUAAGUGCAAGCGUUGGGUGACAAAUGGUGGCACUUUUUGUCUGGGGAUACUGCCCCUGCAUUGCAAAAAAGCUCCCCCUUGGGUGGGGUGAGCCCCAGGGUGGGCUGCUGCUGCCUGCAUGGCUGUCAGCUCCACUUCCAUCCUUUCAAAAUGGCUUGUAACAGCACCACUUCCUGUCCAGGGAGGAAGUAAUUUUAGCCCAGGCUCUGAAAUAUUUAGCAAAUCUUUAAAACAAAAGGCACAAAUUCCAUUUCUUUCUGGUUUCCAAAGGGUGCCUGAGCCACAUGGGGUUAAGGUGCCCCUUCACAUGGGGUAGUUGGCAGAAGCCAGGGCUGUGGGGGUAGCAGGCACCCUUUAGGUGGAGGCUAUCUCUUUUUUUGGUAGAAAUGAAGGGGUGGGUCUAUGGUACAUCACCUGAGUUGUGGGGUAAAUGUAGAGAGUGUCAAUCAAAGGCAGAGCUCAGAGCUGGGAAGGAGCUCUAGAUGGCGGCUGUGCCUUAGAGAGAGCGCGCUCAGCUCCGUGCCUUCCCCACCACUUUACGCAACUUUCCCUAACUUUCGGGCAGCCUCAGGGGGCCCCCACAGCCCCUUGCCUCUCCUAGGCACUAAUCGGGGGCCGAGCGGACCUUUUUCGGGCAGAAAAGCAGCUUUUGAGGGCUCCCUUUUCGUGCCUUGCUGGAAAGAAGAAGCCGUGGAGAGAGCCCAGGUCGUUGUUUUUCCAGCUUAGAAGCCAUGGCGUACCUCCAUUUUUGUGCGCUCUCCUAAUGAGCUUUUUCCCCCGGACAUUUUUCUACUAAUUAUCGCUUCUUUUGCUUUCUCGGCAGCAUAUUUUUGGGAUUAGAAUAUAUAUUUUUUUUCAUUCUCUGAAAUUCUUAUUUUAUCAUUUUGACUCUGAAUAUUUUGGAUCUAAUGUUUUUCCACUACCCGAAACUAAUAUCGACUUGGUCCUGGCGGCGGUGCAUGGAUCAGUAAAUACCUGGGCACAGGACUUCAAAGCAAACAGACACCCCUGACCCCCUCUUAAUAUUUAAGAAUAAAAAGAUGAUGAGAAAUAAGGACAAAAGCCAAGGAGAGGAGGGUUCAGUCCACAGCAAUGCAUCGAGGUAUGAUCUAUCAACUUUC